AUUGGACUUGUUGUCCUAAGAGAAGGAUCAUCUUCUUAUGACACUGAUUGUGGUCAAAGACAAAGACAAAACACUGUUGCCAUUGUAGCUGGUGUUGCAGUCCUAGCUGCUACAUGUGGGGCUGUGGUAUUUAUAUAUCAUAGAAGGAAGAGAGAAAAUAAAAGCUUAACAAGGUGCUUAUGGAACAGACUGAACCAGACAGGACUGCCAAAUGACCCGUUCUCCUUCUGGACCAACUGACCACAGUGCCACCUCUCUAUUACUGCUGUGCUACACCACCUCACUACUGCAGAGACUGCUGCCCUGAGAUGCCAGAGUGGGGACCUGCAUACCAUGAUAAGAACAACACUUGCUGGAUGAGGAUGUUAUAACUCGAUCAUGUCUUAUCAAAACACAUAUUGUUUGUGGUAUUUCAGCACCUGACUUUCCUCAUGAAGAAGAUAAUGCUCUUUCUGAAGGAGCCACACUGGACUACUGGAGGAUGGGGAGGCCAGGACACACAAGACUGUGCCGUCCCAAGUCCAUGUUGCUGAGUUUUGGGAAGAAAAGCAAGGAAGAAUCAGACCUUUUGGUGGUCCAGGAAAAUCAGUCCCUGCUGUCUUUUUUUAAAGGCUGCAAUUCAGUUUCGGUUUUACGAAAGGAUGUUAUUUGAACUGUUACACAAGACUUUUCAGUAAAGCAAGUGUUAUGUAUGGACAGGUACAAAGAAGGAAGAAGGAAAUGGACAAAAACACAAACAAACAGCUGAAUGAAUGGAGAGAAACCCUGGUCAUUUAUCAAUCUAUUGUCCUCAAGGCCAUACUGUGAACAUCAGUAAUUAUUAUCACGCUCUAUCUGGUGACCCGUUCCUCACAUGUUUACUCUGAAAGUAUCUGCAGCACUUCAGCACUUUGUAUUUUUAGCACUUUAUUAUUUAACAAUUAGCUCUUGGCAGAUGAGAAUUCAUCAAAUAAACGACUAAACAAACUGGAUGUUUAAGGGGAAGAUGGUAAAAGGAUCUUGAGUAUUCUGUAGCCAGAGACUCCUGCACUCCAUGUGUGUAGCCAUCAUCCUCUGAGCAGCCAGGUAUGUUCAUACCCUCUGAAUGAUUGAAUGUAUCCUGUGAGGAAAUGGACCAGCGAGUCAAAACUGGAGCUACAGGCCUGCUUUGACUGCACUGACUGGAGUGUUUUUGAGGCUGCAUCUACAUCCCUAGAUGAACUCACUGACACUGUGACAUCCUACAUCAGUUUUUGUGAAAGCAUGUGUGUACCCACCAAAACGUUCUGCACCUUUAACAACAAUAAACCGUGGUUCACGGCAAAGCUAAGGCAGCUUCGUCAAGCCAAAGAGGAGGCCUACAGGAGUGGGGACAGGAUACUGUACAACAAGGCCAGAAAAGAGUAGCAAAGAGAAGCUACACUGAAAAGCUGAAAAACAGGUAGUCAGCUAACGACCCUGCGUCAGUGUGGAGAGGCCUGCAGGACAUCACCAACUAUAGGAAAACCUCCCCCCACACCAUGGAGAACCCUCAACUGGCUUACGAUCUGAAUGUGUUUUACUGCAGGUUUGAUCACCCCCAGUGGCGAUUUUAGCCUGAAAUUUCUGGUGGGGCAAUUUUGUAUGACGUCACGUCACCGUCACAAAAAUAGAGGUAGCUGAUUAUUAUAAGCAGUAGGCCUAUAUAGACCAGUAAGAUAUGCUAUGGGCUGCAUUUUGAGUGCCAGCAUGGAGCAGAAAUCCUAUUUCAAAUACAUUUCACAUGCUUCAGCGCGACACAAGGAUGUUGCCUAUACAGCAUUAAAGUAAAAUGAUUGCAACAAAGUAAAAAGAUUAGACAGACACAUAGCUCAAAUAACUUGCAUCAUUUAUUAAGCUUGUGGCACACGUAUACAAUACAAUAUGAAGCAAAAGGCACAACCGAAACAAAUAACAGCAAAAAAACAUGCUGCUAAAUGAACAAAACUUUGUUCUUGCAGAUUGCAUUGAUACAUCCAUCAGCUCCAAAAAAAAAAAGUUUGACUCACAGAAUCGUAGUGUCUUUGCAGCCUGGUGUCGCCCUCGCACAUCGUCUCAAAGUUCGCACUUCCCACAGAGCUUUAUGCACGAUAUCAGCCUCCCCAGUACAUGACGAUUCUCCUCCGUCUGUUUGUUGUGUUCUAAAAUGUUCCGCUGAUGUGCACUAUCUAGCUGUGCCAUGAUGUUGACCUGCCCCAAUUGCAGAGCGCAAUUGAUUAUGGGGUUUACAGCUUUCGUGUUUCACUGUUCUUUCUGCCAGAUGCUUCAGGUCUUUGAAUCCAUCCGUUGUCCGAACUGAGACUGCAUUAGUAACAAUUCCAAAAAGAAGGCAUGGGAAACAGAACAGUGCUCGUUUUGAUGUGCUAGCUGUUAGCCAUGUCUUUCUGUCAUACCAUUCCGUCUUGAAAGUUCGAGUCGCUUUCUGACCAGGCUGCAGCAGGAUCAAGUCGUCUGGUCUGUGUGGUCCCAAACGUUUGAUUUCAAAUUUUUCUUCCAGCGGCAAUGUACUAAAUUGCACCCUCAUCAAAUAAUCUACGUUAUUCAUUGUAUGAAUUAAAAAACACUUCCAAAAUAGUCGAAAUCUAGCGAUAGCUAACUAGCAGUGCCGUUACUGGCAUUGAUCUGACUGUAUGUUUUUCUUUUUUUUUCUUAGUCACGGGGUACAGGUCUCGCGGUUUUCGCAUUAUUCCAGUCUAGUUGCCAGGCAGAUUUCGUGGGGCACAUCUGAAAGUGCCCCACCGCUCAAUGUUAACUUUGGCCUGUGUGGUUCACGCUCAUUGGUGUUUCCAUGGUAACGGUGGGGCAGCGUGGGCUGUUGCCCCACCGGAAAGGGAGGGACAGCGGAGAGCAGCAUUUCACAGAGCAAGCACACAGACAGAAAAACACACAAAUCAAAUUACUCCAAAACAAGACUAUAAUGCUUGUGAGUCAAGUUUAUUCACACACAUAUUCACGCUACUUUGCAUAAAAAAAAUAUAUAUAUUUUGCCGCGAAGUACGAAUGUAUUGAGCUUUCUGCACAACAGCGUCAUCUGGAUCUGGUGGGGCAGUGCCCCACCUGCCCCUAAUGUAGAAACGCCACUGAUCACCCCACAUUCCCUCCCCCAACCCGCUCCAACUCACACAAUCAUCUGCACCCCCCGUUAUAACCUCCCCCCUGACUCCCCACCGGCACUGACGGUCUGUGAAGAGGAUGUGUGUCAGCUCUUUCAGAGACAGAAGAUAAGGAAGGCAUCAGGCACAGACGGUGUGUCACCCUCCUGUCUGAAAGCCUGUGCUGAUCAGCUGGCCCCCAUCUUCACACGGAUCUUCAACUGAUCUCUGGAGCUGUGUGAAGUCCCCUCCUGCUUCAAACGCUCCACCAUCAUCCCAGUCCCCAAGAAACACUCCAUCACUGGACUGAAUGACUACAGGCCCGUCGCCCUAACGUCUGUGGUCAUGAAAUCCUUUGAAAGACUGGUGUUGACCCAUCUGAAGGACUUUACAGGCAGGGGGCUGGACCCUCUGCAGUUUGCUUACCGGGCAAACAGGUCAGUGGAUGAUGCAGUCAAGCUGCACUACAUCCUGCAACACCUCGCCUCCCCAGGGACUUAUGCAUGGAUGCUGUUUGUAGACUUCGACGUUUAACACCAUCAUCCCAGAAAUCCUCCUCACCAAACUCACCCAGCUCACUGUGCCCGCCUCCACCUGUCAGUGGAUCACCAACUUCCUGAUAGACAGGAAGCAGCAGGGGAAGCUGGGUGAAAUAACAUCCAGCACCCGGUCAGUCAGCACUGGUGCACCUCAGGGAUGCGUGCUCUCCCCACUGCUCUUCUCCCUCUACACUAACGACUGCACCUCAGGUGACCCAUCUGUUAAACUCCAUAAAUUUGCAGACGACACAUCAGUCAUCGGCCUCAUCCGUGUUGAUGAUGAGUCUGCAUAUAGGCAGGAAGUUGAGCAGCUGGCCCUGUGGUGCGGUCGUAACAAUCUGGAGCUUAACACUUAAAACCGUAGAGAUGACAGUGGACUUCAGGAGGAGCCCCCCUUCACUGCCCCCCCCUCACCAUACUCAACAGCACUUGUGUUUCUCUGUGGAAUCCUUUAGGCUUCUUGGAUCCACAAUCUCCCGGAACCUGAAGUGGGAACCCAAAUCAACACAAUCAUCAAGAAGGCCCAGCAGAGGAUGUACUUCCUGCACCAGCUCUACACUGUAGUCAUAGAGUGUAUUCUCUGCACUUCCAUAACUGUCUGGUUUGGAUCGGCCACCCAACUGGAUAGGAUUAAGAUCAUCGGUGCCGACCUGCCCACCAUCCAAGACCUGUACACCUCCAGAGUCAGGAAACGGGCAGGGAAAAUCACUGCAGACCUCUCAGACCCUGGACACCUAUUUCAACUUCUCCCCUCUGGUAGGCGCUACAGAACACUGUUCGCCAAAACAGUGAUUUAUAUCUCAAAUACGAAAUGUGCAAUACAUUCCACCCUUUACUGUAUAACUAUACAGGCUGUAUAUACUGUACUUCUUACGUCAUUCUCUUACCAUUUAAUAUUUAUCCAAGCACUUCUUGCACUCUCCACUCUUUGCACUAAUAGAGCCACUUUACCCGGAGUCAAAUUCCUUGUUUGCAAACUUACUUGGCCAAUAAACGUGAUUCUGAUUCAUAGGUUUUCUCUUAUAUAUUUGUAACUGGUAUGUUGG
This is a long non-coding RNA of Clupea harengus (Atlantic herring), 4674 nucleotides long. The record is from Ensembl. Lineage: Eukaryota; Metazoa; Chordata; Actinopteri; Clupeiformes; Clupeidae.